RNAcentral lists this unclassified non-coding RNA (1556 nucleotides) under Hevea brasiliensis (rubber tree). The record is from RNAcentral. Lineage: Eukaryota; Viridiplantae; Streptophyta; Magnoliopsida; Malpighiales; Euphorbiaceae.
GAAAAAAAAUUUCUUGCUUUGAAAGGAUUCAUCUGAAUAGCGUUCGGCAUUUGUAAUUCCUUCUUUUUGUGCAGAAGAAGCAAUGAGCUUCAGGUUUAAGCCUGUCUCGCAGCCGAGCAACCCUGAAGUUAACGAGGGCGGUGAAAAGGAUAAACAAAUAAAAACUUUGGAUCUUGGAAAUGGAAGCCAAAUCCUUUACAUGCCAAGGUUUUUAUCAUUUGACGACUCAUGGAAAUUCUUUGAUUACCUCAACUCUCACAUCCCUUGGACAAGACCGACCAUUCGUGUCUUUGGUCGCUCCUGUGUUCAGCCUAGAGACACGUGUUAUGUUGCAAGUCCAGGAUUGCCAGAAUUGAUUUACAGUGGCUAUAAACCGCAUGCCUACUCAUGGGAUGAUUAUCCUCCACUUAAGGACAUCUUGGAGGCUGUCCAUGAAGCACUUCCUGGGAGUAAAUUUAACAGCCUACUAUUGAAUAGGUAUAAAGGAGGCAAUGACAAUGUUGGUUGGCAUGCUGAUGAUGAGAAGCUUUAUGGUCCAACUCCAGAAAUUGCGUCUGUUUCCUUUGGAUGUGAACGAGAUUUCUUGUUGAAAAAGAGACCCAAUAAAUCAUCCCAACCCCAAGGUACCAUGAAGUGUUCUCAUCAUCUUCUUUCCUUUUGUUAGUUCUCAUGUUAAAGAGGGUCUGGACUGUAAAGCUGAUGGAUCUGUAGCUUGAUUUUGCAAUGUUGUAUGCGCUGCUUUGUUUUGAUGGUUUUGCUUGUAUUGAUUUGGAAAGUUCUUUGUCACAUCAUUGCAGACACUACAAUCCCUAUGCUUUAGUGAUCAGGUCAUUGAGCAUGUAUGAAGCUGGCACCACAAUUCAUACAGUUUGUUAUUGUGGAUUGUUUUGUUAUAUCUACUGAUAGGGUUUAACUUAGUUAUUGCCUUUUGGUGUGAGCGGCAGAAAGAAGAUCUGAUGAUGAACCUGCUAGCAAGCGAUUAAAGAAAUGCUGCCAUGUUGAUCAGCAUUCUUUUACGCUAAAACAUGGAUCACUAUUGGUGAUGAGAGGUUACACACAAAGAGAUUGGCUCCACUCAGUGCCUAAGCGUGCAAAAGCAGAGGCGACCAGAAUUAAUCUUACCUUUAGACACGUUCACGGAGGGUUGCAGGGAUGAAAAUUUGGUCUUUUGUUGCCCUGGUAUUUAUCAUACCUACUUAGUUCUUGCUGAAAUUUCUGCUGAUGGGUAGUUGUAUUCUGCGACUUAGAAGAGAGAGAAUAUUCAUGAGUUGAUAUGAACAUGAGAAAUUUUGGGUUUGGUGUCUGUAAAAUGAAUUAAAAUAUACUGGCCAAUCCUUUGAUUGAGCAUCCAUUGUGGCCAUCUCAUACCCUGUAGGAAUACUUGAUGAAUAUUGAAACGUACAUGAUGAAGUUUGGUUUGCUUGGUUCUUGUACUAUGAAAAAUCAAGUCACCAACUAGAAGCCAUACCAAAUAAAAUCAAAAUUUCAAUUGGGUUAAUUACUUGAUUUUAGUUUGAUUAGGAAUUUGGACAAACAGAGGAAUACUCUAAUUAAUG